UGAGAGAUAGGUAGGCAGAUCUCUGUUAGUAUGAGGCUAGCCUGGUCUACAUAGGGAAGGGGGCAUAUUCAGUGUCCCCAGCAAGGGAGAUAAAGAGAUACACAAAGCCUAGUUGAGCUCUGGACUGAAGAUGGCCUCUAGUCUAAUAGAUGAUGUGGGAGGUAGGGAAGGAUGGGGCAGGGAGCAUUCUUAGGGAGAGGAUGUGGUUCUCCUUGGGUGUCCCAUUGUCCCUGCCCUGGGUGGGGGGUCCUUUUGAUCUCUAGUACAGCCUGGCGAGGCCCCUCCCUUCUCUGCAGAGUAGCAGGCAUCUGGGGUGCACCUGUGCCCGUGUUUGUGUGGAUCCAAGCCUCCUGUCUUCCUGCUGUGCCUGUCUGGGUAGUGAGGGGUGUUUAUAUACAGAAGCCUUGGAUUGUUUGGGUGUGCUCUGGUGGUGGAGUGUGCUGUAGGGGCCCAGUGCCUGCGACUACCAUUGUCUGCUUCUGCCUGCCACUGGGCCUAUGGGUCUGGGUGCCCAGCUGUCUGCAGGGCUGUGGAAGUGUGGGAGGGGAGGCACUCAAGCCCACCAGCCCCUGCCCUUCUCCUUACUCUGCCUGCCAGACUGAGUUCUCAUCACCUAGCAACUGGGGACUCUAGUCAGUGGCAGCCUCUCAGACAAAAAAAAAAAAAAAAA
This 670-nucleotide long non-coding RNA is filed under the name Rattus norvegicus (Norway rat). Its description in RNAcentral is "long non-coding RNA NONRATT020710". Lineage: Eukaryota; Metazoa; Chordata; Mammalia; Rodentia; Muridae. The record is from RNAcentral.